UACAAGAAGUCAGAGCCCGUUAAAGGGUGAUGGCGUGCCUUUUGUAGAAUGAACCGGCGAGUUACCAUAUCGUGCGAGGUUAAGUAGAAGAUACGGAGCCGAAGCGAAAGCGAGUCUGAAGAGGGCGAGAGUACGAUGCGGUAGACCCGAAACCAGGUGAUCUAGCCAUGAUCAGGUUGAAGUCAAGGUGAUACUUGAUGGAGGACCGAACCGACCCCCGUUGAAAAGUUGGCGGAUGAAUUGUGGCUAGGGGAGAAAUUCCAAUCGAACCUGGAUAUAGCUGGUUCUCCCCGAAAUAGCUUUAGGGCUAGCGUCGGAGGAAGCCAUGUGGAGGUAGAGCACUGAAUGCAUGAUGGCCCCAUCCAGGGGUACUGAAUGCAAUCAAACUCCGAAUGCCAUGUGGUACUAUCCGGCAGUCAGACUGUGGGUGAUAAGGUCCAUGGUCAAAAGGGAAACAGCCCAGACCGCCAGUUAAGGUCCCAAAAUGUAUGCUAAGUGGAAAAGGAUGUGGAGAUGCACAGACAACUAGGAGGUUGGCUCAGAAGCAGCCAUCCUUCAAAGAGUGCGUAACAGCUCACUAGUCGAGUGACUCUGCGCCGAAAAUGUACCGGGGCUAAGCAUACUACCGAAGCUGCGGAUUUACGAUUAAACGUAAGUGGUAGGGGAGCGUUCCAUGAACGUAGAAGCCGUAUCGGAAGAAGCGGUGGAGAGCAUGGAAGUGAGAAUGCCGGUGUGAGUAGCGAGAUGCAGGUGAGAAUCCUGCACACCGAUAGCCCAAGGAUUCCAGGGGAAGGUUCGUCCGCCCUGGGUAAGUCGGGACCUAAGGCGAGGCCGAAAGGCGUAGUCGAUGGAAAACAGGCAGAUAUUCCUGUACCCGCGUGAGAAUGAAGGAGUGACGGAGAAGGUUAGUGGAUCCACUUAAUGGAUUGUGGUCCAAGCGCAGGAGCAGAUACGUAGGCAAAUCCGCGUAUCAAUGCAAAGGCGUGAAGGGGAGUGAAAGCUUCGGCGAGUAGCGAAGUUCAUGAUACCAGCUUCCAAGAAAAGCUUCUAGUGUUAAUCUCAUCGCGGCCCGUACCAAAACCGACACAGGUGGGCAAGGCGAGAAGCCUGAGGUGAGCGAGAGAACUGUUGCCAAGGAACUCGGCAAAAUGACCCCGUACGUUCGCAAGAAGGGGUGCUCGAAAGAGCCGCAGUGAAGAGGCCCAAGCGACUGUUUAACUAAAACACAGCUCUCUGCAAAGUCGCAAGACGAAGUAUAGGGGGUGACUCCUGCCCGGUGCUGGAAGGUUAAGAGGAUGUGUCAUUCCGAAAGGGAGAAGCAUUGAAUUGAAGCCCCAGUGAACGGCGGCCGUAACUAUAACGGUCCUAAGGUAGCGAAAUUCCUUGUCAGGUAAGUUCUGACCCGCACGAA
RNAcentral lists this ribosomal RNA (1411 nucleotides) under metagenome. RNAcentral describes it as "bacterial LSU rRNA". It matches the Rfam family "Bacterial large subunit ribosomal RNA", at positions 565 to 1996 of the family's 2925-position model. The record is from RNAcentral.